Molecule: transfer RNA, 71 nt
Filed under: Henricia regularis
Lineage: Eukaryota; Metazoa; Echinodermata; Asteroidea; Spinulosida; Echinasteridae
Description: tRNA-Gln
Rfam family: tRNA
About the family: Transfer RNA (tRNA) molecules are approximately 80 nucleotides in length. Their secondary structure includes four short double-helical elements and three loops (D, anti-codon, and T loops).
Source: RNAcentral
UAGACGGUAGUAUAAUGGAAAAACAAAGAACUUUGAAUUCUAAAAUGUAAGUUCAACUCUUACCCCUCUAA